Chenopodium quinoa (quinoa) is the source of this 792-nucleotide long non-coding RNA. RefSeq lists it as uncharacterized. The record is from RefSeq and is a predicted model, not a curated record. The transcript has 2 exons. NCBI's taxonomy places the organism in Eukaryota, Viridiplantae, Streptophyta, Magnoliopsida, Caryophyllales, Amaranthaceae.
GGUUACUAAGGUAGAAUUUAAGUGGAUAUUACUUAAAAGCAACCAAAUUUCACUAGGUGAAAAAAGUAAAAUGGCACCGCCUUAAUGCCACCGGUUUUUCAAAACCAGUGGCAAAAAUAUGAAUUAAAGUAGGCGCCUUUUUUAGAAGAGGUUUUUGCCACCGGUUCGGCUCAAACCGGUGGAAAAAACCAUUAUUCCCACCUAUUUGAACCAAACCGGUGGCAAAAAGCUUUUAAACAACAAAAAAAAACCCCUUAUAUUCCCCUAACCCUACCCUCACCCUCAUACUCAGCCUCCAUCCUUUCUCUCUCCUAAUCUCCUCUCUUCUCUCUCCUCUCCCUAAAAAAAUCCCCCCACAACCUAAUAAUGGCAGCAACGACAGUAGCACCACCAGCAACAAUCACCAUCACCGGAACCCGAACCCGAACGACACCCAAGACGUCAAUUUCAACGGCAGCCACCUCAUCAAAACCACCGUCACCUCCGACCCGAACAACACCCAAGAUUUUGGGUUUAAUUAUUCGAAUUUUCUGGGUUCUUGCAUGUGUUUUUUCGGGUACAUUGAUUUAGAUCUUAAAUUGAAGAAUCAAGAUUCAAGAAUAUUGAUUUAGAUGUGUAUGGUUUUUUUUAUUUAUAUUGUAAUAUAUUUUUGAUUUACGAGUAUAUUGUAAUUUUUUUAAUUUAUAUUGUAAAUUGUUUUUUAUUUAUUUAUAUGUUGUAAUUAAUUGUAUUUUUUUUUUAUUAUAUAUUGUAAAAUUUGGAUUAUAUUAUUGAAAGUCAUCGAUUUAAUUG